GACGAACGCUGGCGGCGUGCCUAACACAUGCAAGUCGAGCGCUGAAGGUUGGUACUUGUUCCCACUGGGUGAGCAGCGAACGGGUGAGUAACGCGUGGGGAAUCUGCCUUUCAGUGGGGGACAACAUUUGGAAACGAAUGCUAAUACCGCAUAAAAUCUUUAAACACAAGUUUUAAGUGUGAAAGAUGCUAUUGCAUCAGUCAAAGAUCAUCCCGAGUUGUAUUAGCUAGUUGGUGAGGUAAUGGCUCACCAAGGCGAGGAUACAUAGCCGACCUGAGAGGGUGAGCGGCCAGACUGGGAAUAGGACAAGGCCCAAACGCCUGAGAGUGGGAGCAGUAGGAGAUCUUGGGAAAAAGACGAAAGGGGGAACAAGCUACGCCGGGUGAGUGAAGGAGGUUUUCGGGGCGUGAGAGUCUGGUAGUAGUGAAGAUCGUUGGUGAGAGUGAACAGCGCAUGUAGUGACGGUACCGGGACAAAAAGCGACGGCUAACUACGUG
Molecule: ribosomal RNA, 497 nt
Filed under: uncultured bacterium
Lineage: Bacteria
Description: partial 16S ribosomal RNA
Rfam family: Bacterial small subunit ribosomal RNA
Source: RNAcentral